CUCACUCGGUCGACCCCGCGCGCGCACACAGCCCGCGUCCUCUUCGCCCCCGGCUCGGUCCUGCCCCGCGUCCCUGCAGUUCACAAAGGGCGUCGGCCAGCUCCUGGGUGGUGACCUCGAUGAACUUGGGAUCUUGAGCAAACUGCCCCAGUCCUUCUGAAAUCAAGACCUGAAGGAGCGGGGUGGGAGCCAUGAAGAACCAAAGGAACAUUACUCCUGGAGCCCAGCUCUUCCCUUGAGGGCUAGAGCGAGGGGGUAUCUGGUCUCAUCCUGAGACGUCUCCUCCUGACCCGCCAUGGCUGCCUGGCUCUCCCGGGAGUGGCACCUACAAUAUCCAAGAUGAAGAAAAACAUCAGAAACUGCCAACCUUCCUCCACUUCCUUCAGCAAGUAAAGCAUCACACACGCACACACAUGCAGGUGUACACACGUGCACAAACACAAGCACACACACGUGAACAGGCAUACAGUUGCUGGUGCUUUGUUCUCCUGUGAUUGCUGAUGGAUCCAUAGAAGUGUUCAGAUUAGGGUGAGGGUCCCAUUUGGGAGAAGGAUGUCUGCUGUGGAUCCAGGAGUCCUGACCCCAAUCCACUUACCCUCUGGUCCAAGUCACUUGGUCCACCUCAUGCCUCAGUUUCCCUAUGAAAUUGGAAUGACAUAUGCCCUGCCUAACUUAGAGGCUGCCCCCCACUCACCUCCAGCUAUGACACCUGGGUCUUUGGCAUUUGGCAUAGCUGAGAAGUCCUUGGCCUCUUAUUUUGAUGGUGCCCUUGAUUCUGACACUGGCACCCUGGGGUAAAGGCACAGAGAGGAAGCCUCACCUAGAGGGGUUUGCUCUCCUGAG
RNAcentral lists this long non-coding RNA (843 nucleotides) under Homo sapiens (human). RNAcentral describes it as "HSALNT0366151". Lineage: Eukaryota; Metazoa; Chordata; Mammalia; Primates; Hominidae. The record is from RNAcentral.